This is a long non-coding RNA of Rhododendron vialii, 1159 nucleotides long. RefSeq lists it as uncharacterized. The record is from RefSeq and is a predicted model, not a curated record. The transcript is spliced from 3 exons. Lineage: Eukaryota; Viridiplantae; Streptophyta; Magnoliopsida; Ericales; Ericaceae.
GCUCAUACCGAGUGCAUUAUUUCCUUUGAUGCAGAUGCCCUCUCCCAAGGAAGUAACGCCUAUGUUGGAAAGCUAAGGUAAGGCAUCAUCCCUGUGGACCAACUAAAUAAAAUAAAAGAACAAAAGUAGCAAAUUUGAUACAGGUGUCAAGUCGUAUAAUUCAAUAUCUGUAACAGUUUCCAAGUUAGCAAGAUCCUUGAGUAAAGUAUGACAGGACCUUUGGAUGUGUGAUGGUACCUGGGUUCAAAUCUUCCCCAAGGUUUCCCUGCUUAUCCCAUCUACCACUGGAAGAGAAUAGUACACAAAAAACAAGAUGUUGAUUGCAAAUCGAUUUAUGUACAUAUGUUGUGUAUGCUGGAAAUUCAGGUACCAUCAUAUACUUAUGAAUGCAUACUUCUGGCUAAUUGAGAGAGAACAGGAAAAUUUUCUCAAGUCCGAGCAGGCGAGCAUAGACAUAUAAUUCUAUAUUGAAUCAAGACAUCAGGAUAUUCCUCCCUUUUUCUGUGUUCUAUAUUACUCAAUUAUGUUGAAGGAAAACUGGAAGUCAGACCAAGAGGUAUAACCUAGGAAUCAUUCGAAUCUGAAAGCAAUCUUUUGCUUUCUAAGAUCCCGAAACUCUAGGAAAAACCAGUGCUCGCUACCCAAGUCACAUCAUGCGUGAGCGAAAGUAUGAGCGUGAAAGAGUCUUUCAAAAAACAUUCCCAACUAUAACAAUUUGUGAGAGCGACACACCCAGGAGUUGUCCCAGUGGUUCGGGCGGAUGCCCAGACUUUGGGAGUACUCGUUAAGGUAUGAGAUUCGAUUCUCCACCGGGUGAAUAUCCUGAAGUAAGUGGGGGGCCGUGACUGGUGUUGCCGCGGUGACUCUCCCGGAGGUUUGGGUUGCACAGUCAGGUCCAUUUAAUGCCCUGGUUGUAGGACUGUUCCUUUGAUACCAAAAAAAAUAAAAUAAAAUUGCGUAAGGACAAGUAUAAAGCGAGGAUUGAGAGCUAGUGCGAAGGGUACUAAUGAAGGAUUAUGUCACUAAGCUCUGCAACAGCUCGUGUACAGUGGUAAACAAAAUACUACAUGUGACAAAGCUUAAUUACGUACCUCAACUUAAACAGGCAAUGUAGCAGAUAUUUCAUGACCCGUGAGUGAUAGAAACAGGGGUUUGAUCC